This is a long non-coding RNA of Lycium ferocissimum, 618 nucleotides long. RefSeq lists it as uncharacterized. The transcript is spliced from 2 exons. The record is from RefSeq and is a predicted model, not a curated record. NCBI's taxonomy places the organism in Eukaryota, Viridiplantae, Streptophyta, Magnoliopsida, Solanales, Solanaceae.
GCAGGUUUGUCUAUAUUUACCAGACAGCUGCUCUCCCCAAGAUUACACACAAUGCCGCACGGUAGCAAAAUAGAGAGAAGUGGGUCACAGUUUCAUCUGCACUUAUCCUCUGGUUUUAUGUCCUCUCUCUAGUCAACUUUCAGUAUUUUCGGUGAAGUCUGAGAUGCCAGCCAUCCUCACAAAUAGUAAUCACAUCCCAAGAAGUAGCUAUUCUCCUAUUUAGCACCGUCGAUGAGUCUGACAAUAUUUGAAUGUUCUUCCAUCCUUGCUUCAUCGCAAUUUGGAUUGUUUUCCGAAUUGCUAACGCUUCAGCUAUCACGGCUUUUCCAACAAAAGGAAGUGGACUACCAUGGGCAUGAAGCACCUGACCAUUAGCCUUCAAAGCUACCACUCACUUUCCGAGUAUUUGGAACCAAGUUGCAUCAACAUAAAGCAACAUACUUUCUGAAGGAAAGGUCAGUGAAGUUGGGCUAGUCACAACAUGUCACUCUUGACGCAUAGGGCUUGCACUAUUUAUUUCACCUGUAAACUCCUUAAAAUCGGAUAAAGCUUUUGAUAAAAUUUCAGUAUCACUCCACUAUAAGGAACUAAAUAAAUAGUCUUUUCUAGCUUUCCAAA